Molecule: long non-coding RNA, 572 nt
Filed under: Ursus maritimus (polar bear)
Lineage: Eukaryota; Metazoa; Chordata; Mammalia; Carnivora; Ursidae
Description: lncRNA (ENSUMAG00000021175.1)
Source: RNAcentral
AUCUGAAUUAGAAAUAUCGACAGACUAAAAUUUUAACCCACAGUGAUAGCUGUGACCUGGAGUGGCGUUCCUUUAUCUCUUUGUUCUCCAACAAACAUGUCAAGCUCCUAUCAUUUGUGAGGCAAGGUACCAAGUGAAGAGAGAAACACAAAGAACGUGAUCCUUUUGCAUGGAGAACCUGAAGUCAAAUCACUUCAGUGGAAUCCUGAUGUGUCUUCGUCAAAUUCUGAGACCAGUGCUGCUGACUCUACCUGUUGAAGGGUGAGGCAAGUUUCUGGGUCCACUGCCAGAGAAGGCAUGCAAGCAAGCACACACAGUCUCAGUUUGUGAGAUGCAUCCUCUAUUCAGGUCAGCGGAGGGUAAUUGACCAAGUCAACUUCACCACCGUCGGCGCUUGUCAUUACCAGCUAGCCCGUGUCCUCUGCAUGGAAUCUGAAGCACAAUUCAGUUAUUGGAGUCCCUUUUCAAGGGAACAAAUGUUUUUUUGCUGCUGAACAUUAACUCAUGUUACAAAUGUGAUCGGAACAACGAAGUAGUCCAUCUCAGAGAGCAGGGAGACUGGUUCUAUCGAU